Molecule: long non-coding RNA, 3001 nt
Filed under: Marmota monax (woodchuck)
Lineage: Eukaryota; Metazoa; Chordata; Mammalia; Rodentia; Sciuridae
Source: RNAcentral
CCUACAGCAUAAAAUACAAAAUGGCAUUGAAAGCAAACCAUAUGCUUAGAGAGCCAUCAGCUAAUCCUGGGUAAAGUGAAGCAGUCAACUAAGAACAGAAAUGCAGUAGGACAAAUUGGUUUAGAAAAUAGUAGAAUAUUGGUCACCAGUGCUGACCAAUAGUUUAAUCAGCACUUUGAUGCAAUAAAGACAUUGAAAUUUUAUUGUUUGUAUGGAAAAAGGUAAAUGUCAAAUGCUUUUUUCCUCUGGAAAAAGAUGAAUGUAUAAGUAAAAAUAAAUUUAAUAUAAUUGAGUUUAAAAUGGCUAUUAUAAGGUUGUAAGAGACUUAGAUAAUAUGAAGAUAAUGAUGAUAGAGAUGAUAACUGUGAUAAUUGCGACAAAUACUAAUCUUUAUUGAGUCCCACCUCUGUGCUCAUUUACACUGCUCCAUAGUUGGCAGUUUAUCUACAUCCUGUUACCUCGCAACAACUUUACAAGAUUGUGCCAUAACCACCACUCAACAGAUGGAAAAACCACUCACUUGUUCAAGAAACAUUGAUUGAAUAUUCCCUAUGGACUCCAACGUUCAUGCAUCAAAGGUUAGGGACAAAGAAUGUUCUAGUUCCUGAAACUACACAUGAUUACUCUGCUAUCCCUCUCUUUACAUACGUAUAAAAUGUUAUUCAUAGUUCAUGGCACAUGGUGGGUAUUAAAAAAUAGUAUUUACUUCCUGUGUCCUUGAAUUGCAAUGUAUAAGAAAAUACUAAAGUAAUUUAAUUUAAAGCCACUGCCCACAUGAAAUAACUCAUAUAAACUCUUGAAAUUGACAUUUAUAAAACAUAUAUUUUUUUUUAAAAAAAGAGACUAGAAAGAAAGUUAAAGAUACAAAAAAAAUGGUGGUGUUUAGCUCACCUCAGCUCAAUUCUUAGUGCUGCUCUGAAUAGCAACACAUAAAAAUUAUCUCCAGAGAAGUAUGAUUAAAAUUGUGAAAUAUCUAAAAGUCAUGUCAUAAAAGAAAUAAUGGGCAAGAAAGUGAUGGAAGGGUUAGGCCUUUGGAGUUUAUGAUAACUUCUUUUAGAUAUUAAAGGGUACUGUAGUGCAUGGUCUAAUCCCAGCAACUCAGGAGGCUUCACAAGUUCAAGGCCAGCCUCAGCUUGAGCAACACCCUGUCUCAAAAAUAAACAAAUAAAUAAAAAGGGCCGGGGACAUAGUGCUCUGUGGUGAGGCACCCUGGGUUCAAUUACCAGCACCAAAAUAAAGAUAAAGAAAAAGAAAAAAAAAGUCAGGGAGUAAGAGAAGGCAGUUACCUCUAGGGAAAUAAUAGAAAGGCAGAAUAAGGGCUAAUAGAGGAAAGGUGUAUAAAAGAGAUUUCUGCCUAAUAUAAGGAGGAACUUUAUGACAGGCAGAACUGCUCACAUAUGAAAUUAUGAGAUAUGCUGCUUAGUGAGGCAUGCAUUCUUUCAUUCAUUUAAUUGUUUGUUCAGGAAAUAUGUAUUGAAUAUCUCCUAUAAAAAAUACCAUAUGGCCUAGAAUGGGAUCAAUACCGCAAAAGCUGGGUCAACCAGGUGACAAAGGAAGCUCCAAGAAUGAAUAGAACAGCAACUGGGAAGGUCCAUGCUGCAGAGAACCAAAGACAAGAAUAAAAGCCAGAUGACAAUUUUACACUCAAACUUGUCAUUAAAAGACUAAGAAUAAAAAAGACCCACUUUCCCAGUGUGGCACUGGGUAGGUACUUGAUGUAACAGACUCUCAUCUGAGAGAUCCUCAUGUAACUUCUAGUGUUCUGAAGACUGAUUUUCAAUUUGCAUCUUUUCCUUAUCAAUUGCCUUCAAAGGAUAAAGAACAGUAGCAGUCUUUUUAGACCAACUCUCAUAAACAUCACCAGGUUUUACAUAGACAGCAGUGGUUUACAACUAUGGAGGGUGGGCAGUUUUGUAUGGUGGUUCAGUGUGUGAGAUUUGGAGCCAAGUGAUUCUGGCAUUAUCAUGUAUUGGUCAUGUGACUUUAGGACAGUUAUCAAAUCUUUUUGCUUCUCUAUAAAACACGGAUAAUAAUCAUACCUGUAUCCUAGAGUUGUAAUGAAGAUUAUUAAAUUACGUAGCACAUGGAAGUAGUUUAGUAUAAUCUGUGGUACAUACUAUGUGUGAGUCAUAGCCAUUCUGAGUACCAGAAUCACCUGGCAUGGGAUUUGAACAAAACAGAUAUCCAGCCUCCAAUAGAAAUGUCUGAUUAGGUGGCUCCAAGAUGAGGUACCAGUGACCAUAUUUUGAACCACGUCUCCAGGAAAUUCUGGUCCACAACAGAAUUUGAAAAUCACUUGUUGAUGAUCUUAAAUUUGUACUUCUUCCAACAUUAUCUUACAUCUAGCAAAUAUUGGCCUGCUUGAGAUGUAAAGAAGGGAAGAAAAAUAAUUAGAUUAUCCACAUGAUCAUACCAUUGCCAUGGAUCAUACUUAGCCUCUCUUUUUUCAGUCUAACUCUAGACUGGCCAAAAAGAGGACUUUUGGAUGAAAUCUGUGCAGUAUCAGUGUCCACUGAAUAUCCAUAACUGACAUCACUAAGUCCCAGAUAACACAGCAGAGAGUGAAGCAAAGGUCAGCAUCAGGUUUUCAGUGUGAUGAAAAUACAAUAUUCAAAAGUUGAAGAAAAAUCACAAAUUUACUGUCUUUUUUACAUGCUGCCAUUGUUUUUAUAUAAAAAUGAUUUCUCCUAAAUAAGGAACACUUACGAUAAUAAACUUGCAUUAUUUGAGAAAUUUUAUAUCCUAAUUACAAAUUGAGCUUUUUUUCAUUUUUAAAUAGGUUCUAUUUAAACACACACACACACACACACACACACACAUACAUACCGCAAUACAGAAUAUUUUUUAUAAGUAUUCCUAUUUUUUCCCAGGUACAAAUUCUAUUAUUUACUUGUUGGCAUAGAAUGUGUGUUUUUGUUUUAAAGAACACUGGGUCAACCAAUAAUCAAUCAGUGGUUGUGUAGAGACCUUACAGGUUUUCUGUAAUAAAAUUUGCUUUCAG